GCAACUCGCCUGCAUGAAGUCGGAAUUGCUGUAAUCGCGGAUCAGCAUGCCGCGGUGAAUACGUUCCCGGGCCUUGUACACACCGCCCGUCACACCAUGGGAGUCGGUAACACCCGAAGCCGAUAAUCUAACGAAAGAGGACGUCGUCGAAGGUGGGAUUGAUGACUGGGGUGGAAGUCGUAACAAGGUAUC
RNAcentral lists this ribosomal RNA (192 nucleotides) under uncultured bacterium. RNAcentral describes it as "partial 16S ribosomal RNA". It matches the Rfam family "Bacterial small subunit ribosomal RNA", at positions 1307 to 1500 of the family's 1533-position model. The record is from RNAcentral.